This 342-nucleotide unclassified non-coding RNA is filed under the name uncultured fungus. Its description in RNAcentral is "sequence contains ITS1, 5.8S rRNA gene". The stretch from base 294 to 342 matches the Rfam family "5.8S ribosomal RNA", at positions 1 to 49 of the family's 154-position model. Lineage: Eukaryota; Fungi. The record is from RNAcentral.
UUUCCGUAGGUGAACCUGCGGAAGGAUCAUUAUCGAAUAAACUUGGCGUGGUUGUUGCUGGCUUCUAGGAGCAUGUGCACACCCGUCACCUUUAUCUUUCCACCUGUGCACACUUUGUAGGCUCUGGGAUUAUCUCUCGCGCACUCUUGUAGUGUUGCGGAUGCGAAGGUUGUCGCGCCCUCACAGGCCGGCUUCCCUCGAAUGUCUCAGGUCUAUGUUUAUUAACACACCCCUAUCGAAUGUAUAAAAGAAUGUUGAUUUCAAAGGGCUCUGCCCAUAUAGAAACUCAAUACAACUUUCAGCAACGGAUCUCUUGGCUCUCGCAUCGAUGAAGAACGCAGC